RNAcentral lists this non-coding RNA (30 nucleotides) under Rattus norvegicus (Norway rat). The record is from RNAcentral. Lineage: Eukaryota; Metazoa; Chordata; Mammalia; Rodentia; Muridae.
UGAAAUUUGUUCAUGACCUUACAACUUACC